AAAAAAAACAAAACCAAAAUAUUACCCUGUUACUUUUGAGUGAUGGAGUGAUCCUGCCAUCCUUUUUUCCCUGGGUUUCCCAUAAUGGAGUCUGCUAAGAACUGACACAAUCAAGAGCCUAAUUUACAGAUCAGUGUGGGCUGAUGCACAGAGAGAGGCGUCUCCUGUUUCAGUGUCAGCAGAUGUUGUUUUGAUGUCACACCAGCCAUGCUGCAUCACCCCCCUGGAGACAGCCAGAGGUUGGCAGCAUCCAGCAGAGGAUUCUCCUGGGAAAUCUGCCUCAGCAUUGCCCCACAGUGCAGCUGCAGAACAUCUGGCCUCUGCCAUUCCCCACUGAACCAAGGGAACCCUGAUAUUGCAGGCACAGGCUUAGGAGAAGCAAACUCUGGAUAAGCAAUUACUCUCAGCAAAAAUAUUUGGUACUGUU
RNAcentral lists this long non-coding RNA (427 nucleotides) under Cyanistes caeruleus (blue tit). Its description in RNAcentral is "lncRNA (ENSCCEG00000016842.1)". Lineage: Eukaryota; Metazoa; Chordata; Aves; Passeriformes; Paridae. The record is from RNAcentral.